Tyto alba (common barn owl) is the source of this 2388-nucleotide long non-coding RNA. RefSeq lists it as uncharacterized. The transcript has 2 exons. The record is from RefSeq and is a predicted model, not a curated record. Lineage: Eukaryota; Metazoa; Chordata; Aves; Strigiformes; Tytonidae.
GCUUCUGCGCGGAAGGCUCCGUCUAAAUAUUACAUUACCCGUGGCGAGCAGCUCGCACGAAAACCCUGUUUUUUUUACCUCAGUAUGUAGGAAAAACCGCUCCUCGCUCAAACCGUGUAGGAAAGCCCUGGGCUUCCCCGCCGCAGCGCCCUGCUCCGGAUCCCGGCGCAAGGCCAGAGCCCCCGGCGUUCCUUUAUCCGCAUUUCAGACAACCGAAAACCUGCUGUUCUAAAAGAACCCGUCUGUAAAAUCAUGUCCGGACGCAGGCAGCGUUGCCAGAUUCAGCGCCGGAGUUCCCGUUCCAACCCUCACCGUCUCCGCGGUGUCAGCGCUUCGGGGGAGGCAGCCGCCGGCGGCGCGGCAGGAGCUGGAGGGCUGGGACCGCCGCUGGCCCCGGAGACCCUCCGCCGUGGUCGCAGCCUGCUCAGGUGCCGCGCUGCCCGCACGGGCAGCACCGCUCCUCUGUCCGCACAGAGAGCUGCUGCCUGCCAGAGCCACCGCUCCAGGUACGACCAGGGCUUGCUUCCCCGCCGGCGCCGGGCGCGAGCGGGGCACCGGGCAGCGGGCAGGGAAGGGAGUCGACUGGAGCGUCAAAACAGCCAAACAGCCUUUUGGGUGCUGUUCCGGAGGGGUGAAGUGAGGCUCUCCCGCAGCGUUGCUCCUGCCUGCCGGCCGGUGGGUCACCACAGCCUCGCCUUCCAGAUGUAAAAUCACAAUGUAAUAUUAAAUAUAUACAUCUGCACCCCAUUUAGGGAAAACAUCCUUUUUCAUUCAGCUGAUCUGGGUACCUGGGAGUGGGAGGCAGGCGCCUGGACGGCGAGCUCUCCAGGAGCGCGAUCGCUGCUGCUGGACUGUGACCUGCAAUAAGAUGUGUUUGUUCUCCGGUGGCGCAAGUGGCAUUUGCCCUCCGGGCUCUGGCAUAAGGACCAGAACCAGCAGUGUUGUACCAGCGGUAUCCUGACCUAGGUAAAACAGGCACUGCAACACAGACUGGCUGACUAAGAUGAUGAAAACCGCUUCACUUACUGUCCCUACUUCAAAAGCUGGCAGCCCCAGCAGCUCAGAAACACCGGCAAACCAACCUGUUAUGCUCUCCUGGAGCCAAGUGCCUUUCACCACAGCCAGGAGAGCUUUGCUGACUGACCCCGGGUGAGGACCGGUUCCCGUGUGGGUCAGCAGGUAAAGACAAGGAGGCUGAGUUGUCCUCGGGUGCCAAGCUGGGGGAAAAUACGUCACCUUCACGUUGCCUUAAAAGCCAGGUAAAACUCGACCCUGAGUAAUAAAUUUUAUUUGUUGCACCCAAGCAGAAGCCUGCAGUCCAGUGCAGCAAGCGUGUGGUGAUGCUGACUACAAAGCUUUGAACUGGCAAGAUUUUAUAUAUAUAUAUAUAUAUAUAUAUUUUUAUGUAGUAGUCCAUCACCUAUAAUACACAGUGAGUGCAGGGAAUGUACAGGGGAUGUACACUUUACUGACAUCAUCUGCAGUGAGCUGGUUGCUGGUCCCACCAAUGCUGCUUUCGGCAGUGCUUUUCCUGGUUGCCGAUGGGGCGAAAGAGACGGAAGGAAGUCCCGAGGAGUUAACACGCGCUGGAGAGGAGCCUGCGCCCACCCCCCUGGCACAGGUCCUCUCCCCGCGCCCGCGGGCUCUCCCACGUCCCACGGAGGUGGGUCUCCUUAGCUCUGCUGAGGACGUGGCUGGCUGUGCCGUGUUCUCCUCCCGUUGCCCCCACCUGGAGCCAGCCGGCCAGGGGACGGCCUGCCACACGGGGAAGACGAGGAGGUGGGUCGGGCAAAAGAAACCGAGAGGAGGAGCAGCAAAAAGCCAGGGGUGGGUGGUUAACAGCUGGCCUCGCGACGCCGCACGCCUACGGGGUGCAAGAACACGGCCAAAUGCACGUUAUCCAAGAGUUUUAACACAAUUUAUUUUAUGCUUAAAUAAUCAACUAGAUCAUCCAGUGUUUGUUGUUUUCAUACAUAUGUAAUUAGAGCUAUUAUCAAUGGAUGCUGUUUCCAUAUGAAUAUAAUCAACAAAUUAAAGUAUUUCACCAAAACCCAAAUAAAAAUGCCCUUUAAAACACAGCAGCCUUAACAACCUAAUAUUACACUGCUAGGAUGAUUACAGAUGAUUGGCUUACUGAAAGAUUCUACAUCUUAUAGCCAGUACACAAUACAGUAAUAAUUUUACAGCGUGCUGCCAGUCUAUUAGCUAAUAAUUUCUCUUCAGUUCAUUUAAAAACAUCCCAAACUUGUGCUCCUGAGAGCACCAACCCACUUCUAAAGCUGCAAGCAUUACCCCCGUUAUAAAGCGAGAACAGAUAGCACCCCCCUCCCCGUAAUGCAACUACUGUAUAUGUUAUGGGUUUUAGGUCAUUUCAUUGAAAAUUGGCAA